GGUUAAGCGACUAAGCGUACACGGUGGAUGCCCUGGCAGUCAGAGGCGAUGAAGGACGUGCUAAUCUGCGAUAAGCGUCGGUAAGGUGAUAUGAACCGUUAUAACCGGCGAUUUCCGAAUGGGGAAACCCAGUGUGAUUCGUCACACUAUCAUUAACUGAAUCCAUAGGUUAAUGAGGCGAACCGGGGGAACUGAAACAUCUAAGUACCCCGAGGAAAAGAAAUCAACCGAGAUUCCCCCAGUAGCGGCGAGCGAACGGGGAGCAGCCCAGAGCCUGAAUCAGUGUGUGUGUUAGUGGAAGCGUCUGGAAAGGCGUGCGAUACAGGGUGACAGCCCCGUACACAAAAAUGCACAUACUGUGAGCUCGAUGAGUAGGGCGGGACACGUGGUAUCCUGUCUGAAUAUGGGGGGACCAUCCUCCAAGGCUAAAUACUCCUGACUGACCGAUAGUGAACCAGUACCGUGAGGGAAAGGCGAAAAGAACCCCGGCGAGGGGAGUGAAAAAGAACCUGAAACCGUGUACGUACAAGCAGUGGGAGCACGCUUAGGCGUGUGACUGCGUACCUUUUGUAUAAUGGGUCAGCGACUUAUAUUCUGUAGCAAGGUUAACCGAAUAGGGGAGCCGAAGGGAAACCGAGUCUUAACUGGGCGUUAAGUUGCAGGGUAUAGACCCGAAACCCGGUGAUCUAGCCAUGGGCAGGUUGAAGGUUGGGUAACACUAACUGGAGGACCGAACCGACUAAUGUUGAAAAAUUAGCGGAUGACUUGUGGCUGGGGGUGAAAGGCCAAUCAAACCGGGAGAUAGCUGGUUCUCCCCGAAAGCUAUUUAGGUAGCGCCUCGUGAAUUCAUCUCCGGGGGUAGAGCACUGUUUCGGCAAGGGGGUCAUCCCGACUUACCAACCCGAUGCAAACUGCGAAUACCGGAGAAUGUUAUCACGGGAGACACACGGCGGGUGCUAACGUCCGUCGUGAAGAGGGAAACAACCCAGACCGCCAGCUAAGGUCCCAAAGUCAUGGUUAAGUGGGAAACGAUGUGGGAAGGCCCAGACAGCCAGGAUGUUGGCUUAGAAGCAGCCAUCAUUUAAAGAAAGCGUAAUAGCUCACUGGUCGAGUCGGCCUGCGCGGAAGAUGUAACGGGGCUAAACCAUGCACCGAAGCUGCGGCAGCGACGCUUAUGCGUUGUUGGGUAGGGGAGCGUUCUGUAAGCCUGUGAAGGUGUACUGUGAGGUAUGCUGGAGGUAUCAGAAGUGCGAAUGCUGACAUAAGUAACGAUAAAGCGGGUGAAAAGCCCGCUCGCCGGAAGACCAAGGGUUCCUGUCCAACGUUAAUCGGGGCAGGGUGAGUCGACCCCUAAGGCGAGGCCGAAAGGCGUAGUCGAUGGGAAACAGGUUAAUAUUCCUGUACUUGGUGUUACUGCGAAGGGGGGACGGAGAAGGCUAUGUUGGCCGGGCGACGGUUGUCCCGGUUUAAGCGUGUAGGCUGGUUUUCCAGGCAAAUCCGGAAAAUCAAGGCCGAGGCGUGAUGACGAGGCACUACGGUGCUGAAGCAACAAAUGCCCUGCUUCCAGGAAAAGCCUCUAAGCAUCAGGUAACAUCAAAUCGUACCCCAAACCGACACAGGUGGUCAGGUAGAGAAUA
RNAcentral lists this ribosomal RNA (1637 nucleotides) under Escherichia coli. RNAcentral describes it as "partial 23S ribosomal RNA". It matches the Rfam family "Bacterial large subunit ribosomal RNA", at positions 1 to 1680 of the family's 2925-position model. RNAcentral also lists the same sequence under 1 other name. Lineage: Bacteria; Pseudomonadati; Pseudomonadota; Gammaproteobacteria; Enterobacterales; Enterobacteriaceae. The record is from RNAcentral.